This is a long non-coding RNA of Oncorhynchus tshawytscha (Chinook salmon), 413 nucleotides long. NCBI's taxonomy places the organism in Eukaryota, Metazoa, Chordata, Actinopteri, Salmoniformes, Salmonidae. The record is from Ensembl.
GAGAGAGUUGUGUAUGGAGGCUUAAGAGAGGUAGAGUUGUGUAGGGAGAUUUAAGGGAGGUAGAGUUGUGUAGGGAGAUUUAAGGGAGGUAGAGUGUUUGAUGUAGGGAGGUUUAAGAGGGGUAGAGUUGUGUAGGGAUGUUUAAGAGCAGUAGAGUUGUGUAGGGAGGUUUAAGAGAGAGAGUUGUGUAGGGAGGGUUAAGAGAGAGUUGUGUAGGGAGGUUUAAGGGAGGUAGAGUUGUGUAGGGAGAUUUAAGGGAGAGAGAGUUGUGUAGGGAGGGUUAAGAGAGAGUUGUGUAGGGAGGUUUAAGGGAGGUAGAGUUGUGUAGGGAGGUUUAAGAGGGGUAGAGUGUUUGAUGUAGGGAGGUUUAAGAGCGGUAGUUGUGUAGGGAGGUUUAAGAAAGGUAGAGUUGU